UACGAGGGGGGCGAGCGUUGUUCGGAAUUAUUGGGCGUAAAGGGUGCGUAGGCGGUUUGAUAAGUCUUAUGUGAAAUCUCUGGGCUCAACCCAGAGUCUGCAUAGGAAACUGUCGGGCUUGAGUAUGGGAGAGGUGAGUGGAAUUUCCGGUGUAGCGGUGAAAUGCGUAGAUAUCGGAAGGAACACCUGUGGCGAAAGCGGCUCACUGGACCAUUACUGACGCUGAUGCACGAAAGCUAG
RNAcentral lists this ribosomal RNA (240 nucleotides) under uncultured prokaryote. RNAcentral's name for it is "partial 16S ribosomal RNA". It matches the Rfam family "Bacterial small subunit ribosomal RNA", at positions 524 to 763 of the family's 1533-position model. The record is from RNAcentral.